Carassius carassius (crucian carp) is the source of this 1218-nucleotide long non-coding RNA. RefSeq lists it as uncharacterized. Lineage: Eukaryota; Metazoa; Chordata; Actinopteri; Cypriniformes; Cyprinidae. The transcript is spliced from 2 exons. The record is from RefSeq and is a predicted model, not a curated record.
GGAUAUUUACAGGCCAUAAUAGUGACGGAUUGAAGUUGCAACAGGAAUUAAUGACAAUUUGCAAAUCUGGAAUGAGAACGGUUACACCAAGUCAAAAGGCAGAGAAAUUUGUGGAGUUCCUGGAGAAGGAGGAUUUAACUCCGACGCAGCCCGCAUUCACGCCCCAAGGUGCUAAGAAUCAAACAAACGGCUCGCACACCAAAAGGUAUGCCUGGAAUGCCAGAUCCCCUCUCUUGGCUUCUGAAGAGGAUGUCAAAGAGAGGGGAAGAGCCGCACGUUUCUGAGUGAGGACCCCUGGGGGCGUCUUAUUGGGGCUUGUGUACACAAAUUUACGAACUGACAAUUUUUGAGAGCAAGAUUUGGACAGUAUCUUAGCAUUGUCAAGCGGAGCACAAAGAUUUGGUCACCUGAUACUACUGUAUCUGGAAAUGAGAAAAAAAAAGAGUGCAAGGGGAAAGAAAGAAUGCUUGAGUUUGGGUUGAAAACUAUAUAGAUGUGUUUCAUACCAGCUUACUGAUGCAUGAUGGCACUGUGUAUAUGAUUCUUGCAAAAAUAUUAUAAGUUUAAAAAACAUGUUGAACAGUACUUUAGCUUGAAGAUGUUAGGAUGAAAUCAGCCAGCAAAAUUGCAAAGCAGUGGGUGUUAAUGGAGAUGAUGAUUUUGCAAUUGUACUGUCUUGAUUAAUGCUUAAUUUGCUAUAAACAGAUGUACUGUAACCUAAGUAGUAAUAAUGCUUUUGCUUAAGUACAAAGAUGUAACCCUGUGAUGAAUGCUAUAUGGAAAAUGUAUUGGGUAACUUCACUGACAUUAAGAAAACUGCUUACUUGCAUGAAAUGUAUGUAGUGACUGAGUGAGAGUAGAAACAUUUAUGUAUUAGAAAUAGUUUUUAUGAUAAAUGGACAAUAUAGUAGUUAAGGUGUAUUUCACAGACGGUUAAGAGGAAAAAGAAGAGGAAAAGGGCUAAAGCAAUGUGAAGUAAACAACUGAAAGCCUCGGCAGAGGAGUUGGCCGCACUCCAGGUGAUGACAUCAGAAGAACCAGCGUUCGACGUCUGUGUAUAAAAGACUGAGAGAGAGACUCGACGGACGGAUACUGAACAAGCACAGUAUCCCUCGACGCCUGAUACCAGCUGAUUAUACCUUGAUUUUGUAACUUUACUAUUGUACUUUAAUAUAACUUUUGUUAACUUUAAUAAAACUUGUAUUUUAUUAUUGACAA